Molecule: ribosomal RNA, 274 nt
Filed under: uncultured bacterium
Lineage: Bacteria
Description: partial 16S ribosomal RNA
Rfam family: Bacterial small subunit ribosomal RNA
Source: RNAcentral
AUACGGAGGGUGCAAGCGUUAAUCGGAAUUACUGGGCGUAAAGCGCGCGUAGGCGGUUUGAUAAGUCGGAUGUGAAAGCCCUGGGCUUAACCUGGGUACUGCAUUCGAAACUAUUUGACUAGAGUAUGGUAGAGGUAAGUGGAAUUCCAGGUGUAGCGGUGAAAUGCGUAGAUAUCUGGAGGAACAUCAGUGGCGAAGGCGACUUACUGGACCAAUACUGACGCUGAGGUGCGAAAGCGUGGGGAGCAAACAGGAUUAGAAACCCCGGUAGUCC